Molecule: ribosomal RNA, 497 nt
Filed under: uncultured bacterium
Lineage: Bacteria
Description: partial 16S ribosomal RNA
Rfam family: Bacterial small subunit ribosomal RNA
Source: RNAcentral
GAUGAACGCUGGCGGCGUGCCUAAUACAUGCAAGUCUAGCGAACAGACGAGGAGCUUGCUCCUCUGACGUUAGCGGCGGACGGGUGAGUAACACGUGGAUAACCUACCUAUAAGACUGGGAUAACUUCGGGAAACCGGAGCUAAUACCGGAUAAUAUAUUGAACCGCAUGGUUCAAUAGUGAAAGACGGUUUUGCUGUCACUUAUAGAUGGAUCCGCGCCGCAUUAGCUAGUUGGUAAGGUAACGGCUUACCAAGGCAACGAUGCGUAGCCGACCUGAGAGGGUGAACGGCCAAACUGGAACUGAGACACGGUCCAGAAUCCUACGGGAGGCAGCAGUAGGGAAUCUUCCGCAAUGGGCGAAAGCCUGACGGAGCAACGCCGCGUGAGUGAUGAAGGUCUUCGGAUCGUAAAACUCUGUUAUUAGGGAAGAACAAAUGUGUAAGUAACUAUGCACGUCUUGACGGUACCUAAUCAGAAAGCCACGGCUAACUACGUG